CUAAGAAUAUUCCGCAAUGGACGGAAGUCUGACGGAGCGACGCCGCGUGGAUGACGAAGGCCGAAAAGGUUGUAAAGUUCUUUUGCUGGGGAAAGAAUAACCGCAGGAGGGAAUGCCUGUGGGAUGACAAGAACCGGCGAAUAAGCCCCGGCCAACUACGUGCCAGCAGCCGCGGUAACACGUAGGGGGCGAGCGUUGUUCGGAAUUACUGGGCGUAAAGGGCAUGUAGGCGGCUUGGAAAGCCUGGCGUGAAAGUCUGCAGCUUAACUGCAGGGGUGCGCUGGGAACUGCUGAGCUUGAGUGACGGAGAGGGAGCUGGAAUUCCUGGUGUAGGGGUGAAAUCUGUAGAUAUCAGGAAGAACACCGAUGGCGGAGGCAAGCUCCUGGCCGAUGACUGACGCUGAGGUGCGAAAAGUGUGGGGAUCAAAACAGGAUUAGAUACCCUGGUAGUCCACACAGUCAAACGAUGUGCACUAGGUGCUGGGGGCGGUAGCUUCGGUGCCGGAGCGAACGUGGUGAAGUGCACCGCCUGGGGAGUAUGCUCGCAAGGGUGAAAACUUAAAAUGAAUUGACGGGGGUCAUAGCUGUUUCC
Molecule: ribosomal RNA, 592 nt
Filed under: uncultured bacterium
Lineage: Bacteria
Description: partial 16S ribosomal RNA
Rfam family: Bacterial small subunit ribosomal RNA
Source: RNAcentral